GGCGNUUUAGUAAGUCUGAAGUUAAAGGCAUUGGCUCAACCAAUGUAUGCUUUGGAAACUGUUAGACUUGAGUGCAGAAGGGGAGAGUGGAAUUCCAUGUAUAGCGGUGAAAUGCGUAGAUAUAUGGAGGAACACCGGUGGCGAAAGCGGCUCUCUGNUCUGUCACUGACGCUGAGGCUCGAAAGCGUGGGUAGCGAACAGGAUUAGAUACCCUGGUAGUNCACGCCGUAAACGCUGAGUGCUAGGUGUUAGGUCCUUUCCGGGACUUAGUGCCGACGCUAACGCAUUAAGCACUCCGCCUGGGGAGUACGACCGCAAGGUUGAAACUCAAAGGAAUUGACGGGGGCCCGCACAGGCGGUGGAGCAUGUGGUUUAAUUCGAAGCAACGCGAAGAACCUUACCAGGUCUUGACAUCCCGAUGCCCGCUCUAGAGAUAGAGUUUUUCUUCGGAACAUCGGAGACAGGUGGUGCAUGGUUGUCGUCAGCUCGUGUCGUGAGAUGUUGGGUUAAGUCCCGCAACGAGCGCAACCCUUAUUGUUAGUUGCCAUCAUUAAGUUGGGCACUCUAGCGAGACUGCCGGUAAUAAACCGGAGGAAGGUGGGGAUGACGUCAAAUCAUCAUGCCCCUUAUGACCUGGGCUACACACGUGCUACAAUGGUUGGUACAACGAGUCGCAAGCCGGUGACGGCAAGCUAAUCUCUGAAAGCCAAUCUCAGUUCGGAUUGUAGGCUGCAACUCGCCUACAUGAAGUCGGAAUCGCUAGUAAUCGCGGAUCAGCACGCCGCGGUGAAUACGUUCCCGGGCCUUGUACACACCGCCCGUCACACCACGAGAGUUUGUAACACCCAAAGUCG
This 854-nucleotide ribosomal RNA is filed under the name uncultured bacterium. RNAcentral describes it as "bacterial SSU rRNA". It matches the Rfam family "Bacterial small subunit ribosomal RNA", at positions 574 to 1429 of the family's 1533-position model. The record is from RNAcentral.